GCACUGUUGAAGGUUGAUGGCUGGAGAGGUAUGGAAGACAUCGGAGACAAUCGGUCAUUAUGAAAAUUCGAUUGCUGGAGCCCAUCCGUUUAGAAGUUCAUCUGGAAUCCAUCCGCUGUAGAAGUUCGGAUGGGUCCGAUUCUUGCAGUAGUCCGGAAGGAGGCCGCUUACUACAGAAGCUCGGAUGGAGACCGAUUAUCGUGGAAGCCCGGAUGG
Molecule: long non-coding RNA, 216 nt
Filed under: Elaeis guineensis (African oil palm)
Lineage: Eukaryota; Viridiplantae; Streptophyta; Magnoliopsida; Arecales; Arecaceae
Description: long non-coding RNA (EGUI_LNC057435)
Source: RNAcentral